GCGCUCACCUGGGCAGCACAUAUACUAAAACUGGAACAAUACAGAGAAGACCAUCAUGGUCCCUCUCCAAGGAUGACAUGGAAGCUUGAAGCAUUCCAUGUUUUU
Phyllostomus discolor (pale spear-nosed bat) is the source of this 105-nucleotide small nuclear RNA. The record is from RefSeq and is a predicted model, not a curated record. Lineage: Eukaryota; Metazoa; Chordata; Mammalia; Chiroptera; Phyllostomidae.